UAGGGAAUCUUCGGCAAUGGGGGGAACCCUUGACCGAGCAACGCCGGCGUGAGUGAAGAAGGUUUUCGGAUCGUAAAGCUCUGUUGUUAAGGAAGAACGAGUGUGAGAAUGGAAAGUUCAUACUGUGACGGUACUUAACCAGAAAGGGACGGCUAACUACGUGCCAGCAGCCACGGUAAUACGUAGGUCCCGAGCGUUGUCCGGAUUUAUUGGGCGUAAAGCGAGCGCAGGCGGUUAGAAAAGUCUGAAGUGAAAGGCAGUGGCUCAACCAUUGUAGGCUUUGGAAACUGUUUAACUUGAGUGCAGAAGGGGAGAGUGGAAUUCCAUGUGUAGCGGUGAAAUGCGUAGAUAUAUGGAGGAACACCGGUGGCGAAAGCGGCUCUCUGGUCUGUAACUGACGCUGAGGCUCGAAAGCGUGGGGAGCGAACAGGAUUAGAUACCCUGGUAGUCCACGCCGUAAACGAUGAGUGCUAGGUGUUAGGUCCUUUCCGGGACUUAGUGCCGCAGCUAACGCAUUAAGCACUCCGCCUGGGGAGUACGACCGCAAGUUG
RNAcentral lists this ribosomal RNA (551 nucleotides) under uncultured bacterium. RNAcentral's name for it is "bacterial SSU rRNA". It matches the Rfam family "Bacterial small subunit ribosomal RNA", at positions 355 to 896 of the family's 1533-position model. The record is from RNAcentral.